UACGAAGGGAUCUAGCGUUGUUCGGAUUUACUGGGCGUAAAGGGCGCGUAGGCGGUCUGAUAAGUAGGGUGUGAAAGCCCCGGGCUUAACCCGGGAACUGCAUCCUAAACUAUCAGGCUUGAGUGUUGGAGAGGUAAGUAGAAUUCCCAGUGUAGAGGUGAAAUUCGUAGAUAUUGGGAAGAAUACCAGUGGCGAAGGCGGCUUACUGGACAACAACUGACGCUGAGGCGCGAAAGCGUGGGGAGCAAACAGG
Molecule: ribosomal RNA, 253 nt
Filed under: uncultured bacterium
Lineage: Bacteria
Description: partial 16S ribosomal RNA
Rfam family: Bacterial small subunit ribosomal RNA
Source: RNAcentral